GGGGAAUAUUUCACAAUGGGGGAAACCCUGAUGCAGCAACGCCGCGUGAGUGAUGACGGCCUUCGGGUUGUAAAGCUCUGUCUUCAGGGACGAUAAUGACGGUACCUGAGGAGGAAGCCACGGCUAACUACGUGCCAGCAGCCGCGGUCAUACGUAGGUGGCAAGCGUUGUCCGGAUUUACUGGGCGUAAAGGGAGCGUAGGCGGACUUUUAAGUGAGAUGUGAAAUACCCGGGCUCAACCUGGGUGCUGCAUUUCAAACUGGAAGUCUAGAGUGCAGGAGAGGAGAGUGGAAUUCCUAGUGUAGCAGUGAAAUGCGUAGAGAUUAGGAAGAACACCAGUGGCGAAGGCGACUCUCUGGACUGUACCUGACGCUGAGGCUCGAAAGCGUGGGGAGCAAACA
RNAcentral lists this ribosomal RNA (401 nucleotides) under uncultured bacterium. RNAcentral describes it as "bacterial SSU rRNA". It matches the Rfam family "Bacterial small subunit ribosomal RNA", at positions 356 to 774 of the family's 1533-position model. The record is from RNAcentral.